RNAcentral lists this ribosomal RNA (496 nucleotides) under uncultured bacterium. Its description in RNAcentral is "partial 16S ribosomal RNA". It matches the Rfam family "Bacterial small subunit ribosomal RNA", at positions 28 to 506 of the family's 1533-position model. The record is from RNAcentral.
GAUGAACGCUGGCGGCGUGCCUAAUACAUGCAAGUCGAGCGAACAGAUGAGGAGCUUGCUCCUCUGACGUUAGCGGCGGACGGGUGAGUAACACGUGGAUAACCUACCUAUAAGACUGGGAUAACUUCGGGAAACCGGAGCUAAUACCGGAUAAUAUAUUGAACCGCAUGGUUCAAUAGUGAAAGACGGUUUUGCUGUCACUUAUAGAUGGAUCCGCGCCGCAUUAGCUAGUUGGUAAGGUAACGGCUUACCAAGGCAACGAUGCGUAGCCGACCUGAGAGGGGGAUCGGCCACACUGGAACUGAGACACGGUCCAGACUCCUACGGGAGGCAGCAGUAGGGAAUCUGCCGCAAUGAGCGAAAGCCUGACGGAGCAACGCCGCGUGAGUGAUGAAGGUCUUCGGAUCGUAAAACUCUGUUAUUAGGGAAGAACAAAUGUGUAAGUAACUAUGCACGUCUUGACGGUACCUAAUCAGAAAGCCACGGCUAACUACGU